RNAcentral lists this unclassified non-coding RNA (352 nucleotides) under soil metagenome. RNAcentral describes it as "partial contains 5.8S ribosomal RNA, internal transcribed spacer 2, and large subunit ribosomal RNA". The stretch from base 1 to 120 matches the Rfam family "5.8S ribosomal RNA", at positions 35 to 154 of the family's 154-position model. The record is from RNAcentral.
GAUGAAGAACGCAGCGAAAUGCGAUAAGUAAUGUGAAUUGCAGAAUUCCGUGAAUCAUCGAAUCUUUGAACGCACAUUGCGCCCGCCAGUAUUCUGGCGGGCAUGCCUGUUCGAGCGUCAUUACAACCCUCAGGCCCCCGGGCCUGGCGUUGGGGAUCGGCGGAGCCCCCCGUGGGCACACGCCGUCCCCCAAAUGCAGUGGCGGUCCCGCCGCAGCUUCCAUCGCGUAGUAGCUAACACCUCGCGACUGGAGAGCGGCGCGGCCACGCCGUAAAACACCCAACUCUUCUGAAGUUGACCUCGAAUCAGGUAGGAAUACCCGCUGAACUUAAGCAUAUCAAUAAGCGGAGGA